RNAcentral lists this ribosomal RNA (467 nucleotides) under uncultured bacterium. RNAcentral describes it as "partial 16S ribosomal RNA". It matches the Rfam family "Bacterial small subunit ribosomal RNA", at positions 28 to 507 of the family's 1533-position model. The record is from RNAcentral.
GACGAACGCUGGCGGCGUGCUUAACACAUGCAAGUCGAACGGAAAGGCCCCAGCUUGCUGGAGUACUCGAGUGGCGAACGGGUGAGUAACACGUGGGUAAUCUGCCCCGCACUCUGGGAUAAGCCUGGGAAACUGGGUCUAAUACUGGAUAUGACCUUUCUCCUUAUGGGGUUCGGUGGAAAGUUUUUCGGUGUAGGAUGAGUCCGCGGCCUUUCAGCUUGCUGGUGGGGUGAUGGCCUACCAAGGCGACGACGGGUAGCCGGCCUGGGAGGGUAGGCUGCCACAUUAGGACUGAGAUACGACCCAGACUCCUACGGGAGGCAGCGGUGGGGAAGAUUGCACAGUGGGCGGAAGCCUGAUGCAGCGACGCCACGUGAGGGAUGACGGCCAUCGGGUUGUAAACCUCUAUCAGCAGGGACGAGGCGUUAGUGACGGUACCUGCAGAAGAAGCACCGGCUAACUACGUG